AGCACAUCUUAGUGCUUGUGUUCAACUGUUGGUACUCUUAAGUGUAGGAGCUUAUCAUUUACCCACAGAGAGAUUAUUUAACCUUCUCCUUUAUGUUUAUAGCCCAUUUACUUCUUCACUUUGCAUUACUGCUGUAGGCAAAGCCUUCAAGCAGAAUAAAGGGGUUUAGAGAGCAGGUCCCAUUCUCUUAUCCAUUGACUUUAGAUGAAAUGGUUUCUGCUUUCACAGUUUAGUGUAAUGUGCACUACACGUUUGUUAUAUAGAACCAUUUUAAGUUGAGGUGUGCUCUGAGACUCUUCAGGGCUGCUGUCACAAGCAGAUCUCUAGCUUUUCUCAAGGCCUUUUCAGUGCAUCCUUCCAUUUUUAGGAAUGCGACAUAUUUAAGCAAGCAUAACUUUCUGCACCGUUUCAUUUUUCAUAUAAUCCUACAAUCUCUCCUCUAAAUGAAUCUAAGGGCUGUAUUACCUCUAUUGAUUUCUGUAUCAUGAAGCUCCUUUUGGCACUGAUAGGAAACCAGUUUGAUCAUUAUAAUUUUGCUAUAGGCUGUGAGCAUGCUGUGAGCAAGACCUAACCUGAGCUAUGUUUUCUCAGAGUUUCACUUUAUUAUUUAUUUCUUUGUAUGGUAUUGAUGUUUAAAUGGAGAGUUUCCUUGACUCUUCCUUCUAGUCCCAAUAUUCAUUAGGUUAAAUGAUGCAGUUUCCCGGUGAACUUUUCUACCUGUUUUUUUUGUUUGUUUGAUUUUUUAGCUCUAAUAUUUUUAUAUUUUUAUUCUUUGUUUUCAAAUGUGUUUUCUUGCUGAUGUUCUCAUGUAUAUUUCUAGUUUGCAUCUCUAUUUCCUUAGCUACAUUCCUUCACCUGCUAUUUUGUAUCUUCUUUGAAACCACUGAAUCUUAUUUUGUGCAGAGUUUGAAUUCUCAGUGCAGCUUUCCAGUCACUUCAUUGUCUCUAGUUUCAGCAGUUACAUUUAAGGGGUUAUGAUCGUUUCCAGGUUUUCAUAGGAACUGGGCUUCUGUGCUCUCAUUUCUACAUCACUCGCUAUUGGUAUUUCUUCUAGUUUUAUUUGGAAAUGUUAGUGAACAGCUUCCUCUUCCAGGCUAAAUCUUCAGUACUGUCCAGAGGACAGAAAUAACCACUAUAACAGCUGAAACACCAAUACAGACCAUGUCUGUAAUAGACAUGAAGUUAAUUAAAUCCAACUACCUCAGCUCAAAUGAGAAUAGAGCAGAAAAUAUAAAGCUAGUGUGCAGUGAGCCGUAAAGUUAAAACUGAAUGUGGGUCAGAGUAGAAAUAGUAAAUGCAUGAAGUUAAUUAGGUGAGUGGAGGAAUCUAAGAAGAAGAAGCAAUGCUGAAUAAAGGAAAGGAAAGUGGAGAAGAAAAAUGGAAGCCUGUUAGAAAGAGGAGGGGAACGAGGGAAAGAGGGCAUUAAUCAGAAGAUAUGUGUGAACAAAACUAGGUAAAUGUAAAGACAGGAAUAAAAAAUAGAAGGUUUAAAAUGCCAGACACUCUUACUGAGGCUAUGGAGUGCUAACAAAAAGGCACCUAUCAUGACUGCCAUUCAGAAGUCCCAAGAAGCAGCUGAAAGAGUCAGAUGCAGUUAUUUGCACCCAACCAAUGGACAGAGCAGCCGAACCCUGUUGUUGAAUUAGAGAAGACUAAAAGAAGUUGAGUAGAAGGGACAUCCUACAGGAGGACCCUCAGUCUCAAUGAAUCUGGACCCCUGAGACCUCUCAAACAGUGGACUACCAAACACACAGCUAAUAUGAGGCCCCCAACACAUAUACAGUAGAGGACUUCUGGGUCUGUGUUAAUUCAGAAAUGAUGCACCUAACCCUCAAGAGACUGGAGGUCCCAGGGAGUUUAGAGGUCAGGUGGGGUGGUGGUAGGGGCAUCCACGUAGAGUCGUGGUGGGAUGGGGAGGAGGUAUGGGAUGUAGAGCAGCCGGAGGGUAGAUGAGGGGCGUGGAAUGUAAUAUGGGGCAUAUAAAACAAAAUAAAUAUAAAAUAAAUUUGAAAAAAGAAAAAUGUAAAUUUUAAAUGAUUCAAAGGCAUAGC
This 2051-nucleotide long non-coding RNA is filed under the name Mus musculus (house mouse). RNAcentral describes it as "long non-coding RNA chrX:135374693-135376744". The record is from RNAcentral. Lineage: Eukaryota; Metazoa; Chordata; Mammalia; Rodentia; Muridae.